Long non-coding RNA from Anneissia japonica, 726 nucleotides. RefSeq lists it as uncharacterized. NCBI's taxonomy places the organism in Eukaryota, Metazoa, Echinodermata, Crinoidea, Comatulida, Comatulidae. The transcript is spliced from 3 exons. The record is from RefSeq and is a predicted model, not a curated record.
UGUUUUAAUUUUCCCUUAUAUAUACACUCUAGAAUUCAACACAAUCUGUUAUUCCUGCUGCUAUUCCCGCAAUAAUUGGUAAGGUUAAAUCACGAUGAUUCGCUUUCUUGUUUCCAGCAUUCUCGUUAUCGCGUUGAUCCUGAUGAUAGUUCCUGCGACGGAAGGCGACUGUCGAUAUUCAGAAACUGCUUGCCAAAAUGGAGAAACUUGUAAUUACGAUUCCAGUAAUGGUUAUUACUCCUGUUCGUACAUACAAACUGACUGGUCACUUUUUAGAUAAGUAGAUGUGUUACCAAUACGAAUAUCAAGAAGGGCUUUGUGAGAACGAGGCUGACCAUGGAUCACAGAACAAUAAUGCACUUAUAACUUUGUUUGAUAGGAAGCACUAAAUAUAUAACGAUAUUACACCUUCCAUCAUAAAGAAAUAGUAAUAGUAUAACGCUAUUUCACUUCAAUUUCAUUGGAUACUUAUAUUGCAUCUGAUUUCGUAGAAUAAUAAACAAUAAUAAUAGAACCUAUUUUAUUUUCACGGGAUAGUUAAUAAUAGCACAACGUCAUUGCAUCGGAUUUCGUAAACAAGCUGAACAAUAUUGUACUUUCAAAUUCGAUAUUAAACAAUGAUAGCAAAAAGGUAUUGUUCAAGGAAAUUAAAUGUGCAAUACCGUUUUCCUAUUAUAGUAUAAACAAUGAUAAUAAAACGGCUUUACAAUGAUAUAGCCUAAAUAA